UUUUAUCUCACGACUGAACAAAUUUUUUUUUUUAGGGGAAAAAGUUCCAAACCAUCCAUUUUGAAGAGAUUUAGGGUUCGGGGGUUGGUUAUAUUUAGGGAAGGUGUUAGCACCCUAAAUAUUCGUAGUACUCUACGAGAACCUCUUGAUUUUAUUUAACUUUUUGUGCUUAAACUUGCUUGCUUUUGAAGAGAUGAAAAUGGAAUUGAAAGAUGAGUUGAAAAGAAAAAGAAAAUUGAUUUUAGUUAAAGAGAAAAAAA
This 260-nucleotide long non-coding RNA is filed under the name Medicago truncatula (barrel medic). RNAcentral's name for it is "long non-coding RNA (MTRU_LNC003212)". The record is from RNAcentral. Lineage: Eukaryota; Viridiplantae; Streptophyta; Magnoliopsida; Fabales; Fabaceae.